ACCAGGGCUGCUGGAGAAGGAGGGCCGCUGGCUGCCAACGUGCAGGGACAGCAAGCUCCACAAUCAUCUGGAUGAUGGCGUCCUCUGCAAGAGAGCGCACGCCCCGUCACGCCUCCCGAGCACGCAGGCAGCCCGCCCUCGGUGACCCGGCUCCUGACGUCAACUUGAACUUCCCGUCUUAAGGGAGGGGCCUCUUCACACAGCAGCUCAGGCCCCCAAAGUGGGGAAAGCACCACCCCGCCGGGGCCGUCCUGAGAGAGGGCCGGAAGAGCCACAGGGGAAGGGUGCUGUGCCAAAGCAUGGCAUUAUAGGCAGGAUUUCAGGUCAGCCUUCCAGGCUGUGCCUCCCCCGUUUCCUCUGGACUUCACACAUCUGUGAAUAUCUGCUUCGGGCCUGGUCAGCUGUGUGACCCUGGAAGGCUGUCGGGCCAUCAGAUGGGAGGCCAGGCUUGAAAAAACUUGGCAAGGCUAAUGCUGAUCUUCCAACCCGCAAUAUUCCAGUGGGGAAAGGGUGGCUACCCGGCCUGUCGAAGGUGCAGGCCGUCAGCAGGCAUGGCACAGAGAGCCCACCGUGGUGACGUCUCAGCCACACUCCCAGUCCUUAUGGAGACGCCCCAAAGGACGGUAUCCACAGGGCUCCUCUGAUACCCCUGUCAGUCUCCUCAAGGACCCUGGUCUGGCUGCUAACGAUCAGUUUACAAGAAAGGAUUUGCAAACAGCACUCUCCCCCACACUUCUCUCGUUCUCCCCCACACUUCUCUCGCACUUGGAAAUCCUGCUCUGCUUUUGUUCCUUCAUUCCGUCUACCAGCGGGUCCCCUGACCUGUGAGAAAAUGACUCACGUGUACAAUAACUAGACAUCCUGCAAAAUAACUAAGCAUCUUUGGUUAUCCUGUGACAGAUGUAUUUCCUAUCUUUCAAAAUAUGUCCUCGG
Long non-coding RNA from Tupaia belangeri chinensis (Chinese tree shrew), 933 nucleotides. RefSeq lists it as uncharacterized. Lineage: Eukaryota; Metazoa; Chordata; Mammalia; Scandentia; Tupaiidae. The record is from RefSeq and is a predicted model, not a curated record. The transcript is spliced from 3 exons.